UGUUUAAUAAAUUUAUUCUUCUUCUUCUUCUUCCUUCCUCUGCAGAUGAUUCUCAAUACAGCCACUACAUCUCCCUCAAACACAAUUACAUAACAAUGAACAUUUUAAGAAACAUGAACUAAACAAUUGUUGUUUUCGUGUUUUUUUACUUGUACCUACCACGUGUUUCACACAUUCCCAAAAACUAUCUUCUAAAACUCUUUUAACAAGCAUCAUCAAACAUAAACUAAAAUUCGCAUGAGCACGUAUUACAGACACUGCCUCUCUCCCAAACACAGCUACAGAACAACAAUAUUGAGAAUUCGC
This 306-nucleotide long non-coding RNA is filed under the name Brassica napus (rape). RNAcentral's name for it is "long non-coding RNA (BNAP_LNC008786)". Lineage: Eukaryota; Viridiplantae; Streptophyta; Magnoliopsida; Brassicales; Brassicaceae. The record is from RNAcentral.